GACGAACGCUGGCGGCGUGCUUAACACAUGCAAGUCGAACGGAAAGGCCCUGCUUUUGUGGGGUGCUCGAGUGGCGAAAGGGUGAGUAACACGCGAGUAACCUGCCCUUGACUUCGGGAUAACUUCAGGGAACUGGGGUUCUUAUCGGAUAUGAGCUCCUGCUGCAUGGGGGGGGUUGGAAAGUUGCGGCGGUUGGGCAUGGACUCGCGGUUUAUCAGCUUGUUGGCGGGGUAGUGGCUUACCAAGGCUUUGACGGGUAGCCAGCCUGCGAGGGUGACCGGCCACAUUGGGACAGGGAUGCCGCCCGGACUCCAACGGGGGGCAGCGGUGGGGAUUAGUGCACACUGGGCGGAGGCCGGAUGCAGCAACGCCGCGUGCGGGAUGACGGCCUUCGGGUUAUAACCCGCUUUCGCCUGUGACGAAGAGUAAGUGACGGUAAUGGGUAAAAAAGCACCGGCUAACUACGUG
RNAcentral lists this ribosomal RNA (468 nucleotides) under uncultured bacterium. Its description in RNAcentral is "partial 16S ribosomal RNA". It matches the Rfam family "Bacterial small subunit ribosomal RNA", at positions 28 to 507 of the family's 1533-position model. The record is from RNAcentral.